GCACCGCUACACACCCGCAAGCCAGGGCAGCGUGCACCGGGCCCGCUGCCGCUCGCUGCGCUUCCAGCUCUCCGUUCUGCUCGCAUUUUGAUGUUGCCUCUCCCGCUCCGCUCCGGCCCCCCGAGUGCCGAAGCUGAGCGAGACGCCUGACGCGCUUUUUCCAAGGCCCCCGGCUAGUGCCGGGGCCGCAGCCCAGGCUUCCUCCGCCGGCUGUGGCCCCGCAGGCCGGCCGGGCCGCGGCAGCUGCUCCCCCGGAGACGGGGAGAACAAUACCAAAUACCAGCUCCGCCGCAGGAACGCGGGAGAUGGCGCGGCGGGGGGCCGGGGCAGUCCGGGCAGGGCUUGCUCACGGCUUGGACGCGGCCCAGAGGCGGCCACUCGCCUGCCGUGCCGCGCGCCGGCGUGAGGCGAGAUGGCGCCCGCCGGGCCCUGACGGCAGGUGGCAGCCGGACACCGCCGCUCGGCCCAGCCGCCGGCUGAGGCGGCGCGUCCUCAGGCACGUCUGCCGAGUCCGCUCGGAGCCGCAUCCUCGCACACGUCUACGGUGAGGCACACGGGUGUUCAGGGAUGAGCUGGUAGCGCGCCCGGCGCCGCCUCAUUGCGUACGUGCAGCAACACACUGCUGCUGCGAGAGGAAGAUCCCGCGCCUCCCGUGAAGGAAAGCACACGCACCACGACGCCGAGACCUCUCCUCGGACCGGGAUGACUUAUCACCAAAGAAAAGUAAGAACACGAAAGGCAAGUCUAUCAGCAUCCCCAAACGUCGAAGCUUGGUGGGCUCCCAUCUAACAGCGGAGCAGCCAUGCACCGCGUCCCUCCCACCUGGGCUCUGGGCCUCAUGGUUACCCUGACAGAAACCCGAGUCUGCACCCACAGCUGCGAAGGCCUAACACUAAUCAGGCAGACGGUUUCUCCGUUGAGUAACAUUUUCCCUCAACGAACUUUAAUCCAGUUUUGAAAUGUAAAGGAGGCUACAUUGGGUUACAUUACAUCAGCUACUCAUGUCAAGCUCUUGAGAAGUGGGACUGAAGGUUUUUGUCUCCAGAAACCUUUUGUUGGCCUACAAAAGGCACUUCCCCCCCCCCCCCAGCUCAGACACCAAAAGGGGGAGUUUUUAACUUCCAAAAAUAAAUCAAAGACACCGGGAUGCCUGCAGGGUAUUUGUUUCUCCAUAGGAACGUGAACCUGGUGGUUUAGUUUAAGAGAGACUAAGCUAAAUCACAUUUUCUAAAUUCCUCCCCUUCCUGAUAGAUCAAGAUCGACAGGAUUGCACUGUUGUUUUAAUGAAAACCUACUACUCCUCAGAGAGUUUCCUGUUUUAGAAAGAUGAUAUUUCAGAGCUACAAAAUUCCACAUAAUUUGACUUGCUAUCACCUUUGUCAGGUCCCUUAACCUCCUCGUGCUUCAGCUGCCCAUUGAUGAAACAUGAGUGAUACUCUCCAUUAAAAAAACUAACAACAACAAAAAAAGCCCAACACUCAUACACGAGACUAACAUCUGCAAAAUACACAUCUGUCCCUGAAGAGACAGGUCUUUAACUGAUACCAUGACAAACUGAAAAUACAUCCACAAGGUGUAAACCUGCGAUUGCUACAUGAGGACUUGGAAAGGACCAUAUAUACCAGGGCAACCUCUGCAUGCCUAGAGCCCCCGCCUAGCCACUUGCAGGGGCAUGUCCAGCUCUUCCACCUUCAUACACGAUCCUUGGUGGUCUGAAAACCUUCUGGGUGUCUGCAAAUUGAAGCAGCCUUUAGCUGUCUAACUGAAGCUAAAGCACCACAUGGCUGCUUGCAAAGUGUCAGGAAAAGACAGUAGUCAUAAAGUCACACUACACUCCAGCCAAGCCUUCUUUCAUCAUCAGUAAUUCAGUAAGCUGGAUCAAUCUCAGGUGCAUGUGAAGGACCAGAAACAUCCCAAGAUACAGCUAAACAUGACUGACCUGGACAUUGCAUCUCUGGAGAGUUUUCAGAGCUUAAGAUCUGCAACUCAGAGCAACAAUUCUUUCAGGACAUACUGAUUCUGGAGAAACAGCAGAUAUUUGAGAUGGCUGAACUAAGUGCAAAUUGACCAGCAGAAGCUGCAGAUGAGCCAAACUCUGACAGCAAAAUAUGUGAAAAGCAAAAAGAUGCUGAAAAAAAGAGUAACUUACCGAGUCCACACAGGAAAUCAAAUACCUCAGUUUAAGAAAGACUCCGUCUUCUCAGGAAUGGCUUAAGAUAGCCCAUUUUGUUUCCAAAGUUAGUAGCACCUUUGGACUCAAGAGGAAAAUACUCUUCAGAGGGCUGCUUGCCGCCUCAACAGCUGACUUUGCAGAAAAGAGCUGCUGCUGUAGGAAGUGCUGCUGUCUUUCCCUGCAAGUCUUGCACC
This is a long non-coding RNA of Pogoniulus pusillus (Red-fronted tinkerbird), 2367 nucleotides long. RefSeq lists it as uncharacterized. The transcript has 5 exons. NCBI's taxonomy places the organism in Eukaryota, Metazoa, Chordata, Aves, Piciformes, Lybiidae. The record is from RefSeq and is a predicted model, not a curated record.